AGUACGGCGGAACACGAGAAAUUCCGUCGGAAUCCGCGGGGACCAUCCCGCAAGGCUAAAUACUCCCUAGUGACCGAUAGUGAACCAGUACCGUGAGGGAAAGGUGAAAAGCACCCCGGAAGGGGAGUGAAAUAGAUCCUGAAACCGUGUGCCUACAACAAGUCAAAGCUCGUUAAUGAGUGAUGGCGUGCCUUUUGUAGAAUGAACCGGCGAGUUACGAUUGCAUGCGAGGUUAAGUCGAAGAGACGGAGCCGCAGCGAAAGCGAGUCUGAAUAGGGCGAAUGAGUAUGUAGUCGUAGACCCGAAACCAUGUGAUCUACCCAUGUCCAGGUUGAAGGUGCGGUAAAACGCACUGGAGGACCGAACCCACGUACGUUGAAAAGUGCGGGGAUGAGGUGUGGGUAGCGGAGAAAUUCCAAACGAACUUGGAGAUAGCUGGUUCUCUCCGAAAUAGCUUUAGGGCUAGCCUCGGAAUUGAGAAUGAUGGAGGUAGAGCACUGUUUGGACUAGGGGCCCAUCUCGGGUUACCGAAUUCAGAUAAACUCCGAAUGCCAUUCAUUUAUAUCCGGGAGUCAGACUGCGAGUGAUAAGAUCCGUAGUCGAAAGGGAAACAGCCCAGACCACCAGCUAAGGUCCCAAAAUAUAUGUUAAGUGGAAAAGGAUGUGGGGUUGCACAGACAACUAGGAUGUUGGCUUAGAAGCAGCCACCAUUUAAAGAGUGCGUAAUAGCUCACUAGUCGAGUGACCCUGCGCCGAAAAUGUACCGGGGCUAAACAUAUUACCGAAGCUGUGGACUACACCAUUAGGUGUAGUGGUAGGAGAGCGUUCUAAGGGCGUUGAAGGUCGAUCGUGAGGACGGCUGGAGCGCUUAGAAGUGAGAAUGCCGGUAUGAGUAGCGAAAGACAGGUGAGAAUCCUGUCCACCGUAUGACUAAGGUUUCCUGGGGAAGGCUCGUCCGCCCAGGGUUAGUCGGGACCUAAGCCGAGGCCGAUAGGCGUAGGCGAU
Molecule: ribosomal RNA, 1005 nt
Filed under: Enterococcus faecalis
Lineage: Bacteria; Bacillati; Bacillota; Bacilli; Lactobacillales; Enterococcaceae
Description: partial 23S ribosomal RNA
Rfam family: Bacterial large subunit ribosomal RNA
Source: RNAcentral